UCCUUCGACGGUGCAAGGACCGAGGCUAGCCGCACGGGCUCCUCGAUCAGCAUCUGACCUCCCGGCAUCGCUGAGAAAAAUUAGGGUUCCGUUAGGGUUUUGAUCAGCUUCUCGAUUCAACAGAGUAGAGAGGGGUUUCAGAGGAAAGAAACGAGGGAAAGGAGCGCCGCUACUCUUUAUAGCUUUCUUCGGGGAAUGGAAUAUUUAGCUAGUCACCUGGAAAAGUACUUAAAGCCCAAAC
Molecule: long non-coding RNA, 241 nt
Filed under: Elaeis guineensis (African oil palm)
Lineage: Eukaryota; Viridiplantae; Streptophyta; Magnoliopsida; Arecales; Arecaceae
Description: long non-coding RNA (EGUI_LNC079712)
Source: RNAcentral